UACAGAGGGGGCAAGCGUUGUUCGGAAUUACUGGGCGUAAAGGGCGCGUAGGCGGCCUUCUAAGUCGGACGUGAAAGCCCCAGGCUUAACCUGGGAACUGCGUCCGAUACUGGGAGGCUUGGAUUCGGGAGAGGGAUGUGGAAUUCCAGGUGUAGCGGUGAAAUGCGUAGAUAUCGGGAAGAACAUCGGUGGCGAAGGCGGCCAGCUGGGCCAUUGCUGACGCUGAUGCGCGACAGCGUGGGGAGCAAACAGG
This 253-nucleotide ribosomal RNA is filed under the name uncultured bacterium. RNAcentral describes it as "partial 16S ribosomal RNA". It matches the Rfam family "Bacterial small subunit ribosomal RNA", at positions 524 to 776 of the family's 1533-position model. The record is from RNAcentral.